Molecule: ribosomal RNA, 382 nt
Filed under: uncultured eukaryote
Lineage: Eukaryota
Description: partial 18S ribosomal RNA
Rfam family: Eukaryotic small subunit ribosomal RNA
Source: RNAcentral
UGUAAGCGUAUACCAAAGUUGUUGCAGUUAAAACGCUCGUAGUCGGAAUUUGGCAGUUCCGGAUGUGUGCACGUCGUGUGCGCACUUCGCGGGGAUUGCUUUUGUGGUCUUGCGUAGGAUGAGGCACUUUUAUUAGUGAACGUCCUCACGCAACCACUUUUUACUGUGAGAAAAUCAGAGUGCUCAAAGCAGGCAUUUGCCGUGAAUGUAUUAGCAUGGAAUAAUAGAAAAGGACUUGGUUCUAUUUUGUUGGUUUGUUGGGACUGAGUAAUGAUUAAGAGGGACAGUUGGGGGCAUUUGUAUUUCGGUGCUAGAGGUGAAAUUCUUAGAUUACCGAAAGACAAACUGCUGCGAAAGCGUCUGCCAAGGAUGUUUUCAUUGA